CUUCAUCAGGAAUGUUCCUCAGCUCAUCAAACUCGGUCUCCCCUGAAAAAGUGCCAACCAACAAUAAAGAAAAAAUGUCCAGCCAUUUAAAAAUUUUAAAUGUAAAUAAAACGCAACCGCCAUUGUCAGUGCCGCUAUGAUUGACAACGUCAGUAAUCACCAAAUAUUUUUUAGUUUAUUUUUAUUGACAAUAUUGCAUUUUGAUAAUUAAGGUAAGGAAUGAGGAAUUUUUAUAGUUUUAAACUUACAAUCGUUGCUUUGGAAUGAAUUAGCUUGGGACAUUUCUUAAUAAGUGUCUUGGGUCUCGCUUUUUCCCUCAGAUCUUUUUAGCGUUGUACUUCAUAGAGAUGACAGUGACAUGCAAUACACCGGGCUAUAUAUUUGACAUAUUUUUUAGUUCCACAUUCGCGACAGUAGCGACAGUUUAUUAAAAACCGCUGAUUCCGGUUAAAAUACACUUCCUGCCCGGAGAUAGCGUUUAUUUCACCCCGGAAAUUAUAUAUGAGUCUUAACUCGGCUGUGAAACGUAAAGACGCUUUAAUGCGUCUAGUCGUGUUAAUUAUUUUAACUGGAAGGUUUUAAUUAUAACUGACCCGAUAAUUACAAGAGACAUCACAGACGGGUAAUUAACAUUGAUACGCUUAAUCCUGACAAUUGC
Long non-coding RNA from Cotesia glomerata, 658 nucleotides. RefSeq lists it as uncharacterized. The transcript has 3 exons. Lineage: Eukaryota; Metazoa; Arthropoda; Insecta; Hymenoptera; Braconidae. The record is from RefSeq and is a predicted model, not a curated record.